AGUCUUGUUUGGUAGACAAGGAUGACUUGCCUGAUCCUUUUCUUCAAUGGGAGAGUUCUCAGGCAGUCUCCUUGUCUAACUUGACAGACUCG
This 92-nucleotide microRNA precursor is filed under the name Manihot esculenta (cassava). Lineage: Eukaryota; Viridiplantae; Streptophyta; Magnoliopsida; Malpighiales; Euphorbiaceae. The record is from RNAcentral.